Molecule: ribosomal RNA, 549 nt
Filed under: uncultured archaeon
Lineage: Archaea
Description: bacterial SSU rRNA
Rfam family: Archaeal small subunit ribosomal RNA
Source: RNAcentral
GUUGUGAGAGCAAGAGCCCGGAGAUGGAUUCUGAGACACGAAUCCAGGCCCUACGGGGUGCAGCAGGCGCGAAAACUUUACAAUGCUGGCAACAGCGAUAAGGGAACCUCGAGUGCCAGGUUACAAAUCUGGCUGUCGAGAUGCCUAAAAAGCAUUUCAUAGCAAGGGCCGGGCAAGACCGGUGCCAGCCGCCGCGGUAACACCGGCGGCUCGAGUGGUAACCGUUAUUAUUGGGUCUAAAGGGUCUGUAGCCGGCCGGAUAAGUCUCUUGAGAAAUCUGGCAGCUUAACUGUCAGGCUUUCAGGAGAUACUGUCUGGCUCGAGGCCGGGAGAGGUGAGAGGUACUUCAGGGGUAGGGGUGAAAUCUUGUAAUCCUUGAAGGACCACCAGUGGCGAAGGCGUCUCACCAGAACGGACCUGACGGCAAGGGACGAAAGCUAGGGGCACGAACCGGAUUAGAUACCCGGGUAGUCCUAGCCGUAAACGAUACUCGCUAGGUGUCGGCCACGGUGCGACCGUUGUCGGUGCCGUAGGGAAGCCGUGAAGCGA